GACGAACGCUGGCGGCGUGCUUAACACAUGCAAGUCGAACGGAAAGGCCUGCUUUCCCUUGUGGAUUGCGGGUACUCGAGUGGCGAACGGGUGAGUAACACGUGAGUGAUCUGCCCCCAACUUGGGUAUAAGCCUGGGAAACUGGGUCUAAUUCCCGAUAGGACUGCAGGGUGGUGCCUGUGGUGGAAAACGAUUUUCUAGUGGUUGGGGAUGAGCUCGCGGCCUAUCAGCUUGUUGGUGGGGUAAUGGCCUACCAAGGCGGCGACGGGUAGCCGGCCUGAGAGGGUGGACGGCCACAUUGGGACUGAGAUACGGCCCAGACUCCUACGGGAGGCAGCAGUGGGGAAUAUGGCACAAGGGGCGGAAGCCUGAUGCAGCGACGCCGCGUGGGGGAUGACGGCCUUCGGGUUGUAAACUCCUUUCGACCGCGAGGAAGCCACCUGGUUGGAAGGGUGGUGACGGUAGUGGUAGAAGAAGCACCGGCUAACUACGUG
RNAcentral lists this ribosomal RNA (494 nucleotides) under uncultured bacterium. RNAcentral's name for it is "partial 16S ribosomal RNA". It matches the Rfam family "Bacterial small subunit ribosomal RNA", at positions 28 to 507 of the family's 1533-position model. The record is from RNAcentral.